RNAcentral lists this ribosomal RNA (497 nucleotides) under uncultured bacterium. RNAcentral's name for it is "partial 16S ribosomal RNA". It matches the Rfam family "Bacterial small subunit ribosomal RNA", at positions 28 to 507 of the family's 1533-position model. The record is from RNAcentral.
GAUGAACGCUGGCGGCGUGCCUAAUACAUGCCAGUCGAGCGAACGGACGAGAAGCUUGCUUCUCUGAUGUUAGCGGCGGACGGGUGAGUAACACGUGGAUAACCUACCUAUAAGACUGGGAUAACAUCGGGAAACCGGAGCUAAUACCGGAUAAUAUUUUGAACCGCAUGGUUCAAAAGUGAAAGACGGUCUUGCUGUCACUUAUAGAUGGAUCCGCGCUGCAUUAGCUAGUUGGUAAGGUAACGGCUUACCAAGGCAACGAUGCAUAGCCGACCUGAGAGGGUGAUCGGACACACGGUAACUGAGACACGGUCCAGACUCCUACGGGAGGCAGCAGUAGGGAAUCUUCCGCAAUGGGCGAAAGCCUGACGGAGCAACGCCGCGUGAGUGAUGAAGGUCUUCGGAUCGUAAAACUCUGUUAUUAGGGAAGAACAUAUGUGUAAGUACCUGUGCACAUCUUGACGGUACCUAAUCAGAAAGCCACGGCUAACUACGUG